RNAcentral lists this ribosomal RNA (405 nucleotides) under uncultured bacterium. RNAcentral's name for it is "partial 16S ribosomal RNA". It matches the Rfam family "Bacterial small subunit ribosomal RNA", at positions 28 to 526 of the family's 1533-position model. The record is from RNAcentral.
GAUGAACGCUGGCGGCGUGCCUAAUACAUGCAAGUCGAGCGGAGCGGGGACGGGGGAGUAACACGUGGGGGAACUCCUCUAAGAAGGGGGUAACUUCGGGGAACCGGAGCUAAUACGGAUACUUAAAGAUGGAGCCACUUUGCAUUAGCUAGUUGGUAAGGUAACGGCUUACCAAGGCGACGAUGCAUAGCCGACCUGAGAGGGUGAUCGGCCACACUGGAACUGAGACACGGUCCAGACUCCUACGGGAGGCAGCAGUAGGGAAUCUUCCGCAAUGGGCGAAAGCCUGACGGAGCAACGCCGCGUGAGUGAUGAAGGUCUUCGGAUCGUAAAACUCUUUUAGUAGGGAAGCGGUACCUAAUCAGAAAGCCCCGGCUAACUCCGUGCCAGCAGCCGCGGUAAUAC